This is a long non-coding RNA of Ornithodoros turicata, 366 nucleotides long. RefSeq lists it as uncharacterized. The record is from RefSeq and is a predicted model, not a curated record. The transcript has 3 exons. NCBI's taxonomy places the organism in Eukaryota, Metazoa, Arthropoda, Arachnida, Ixodida, Argasidae.
GCGUCAAAACGAAUGGCAGUGCCAUGCAUGGAGAAUCAAAGCGCAGAAGAGACACUGCCGAGAAGAAAGUCAACAAAACAGUCUUUUGAUGACAUCUGUGCCCUUGGUGGAGAGGACUCCAAAAGCCUGAAGGAACACGAGGAAUGGCUUCUCAAGGAGAUGAAAAAGCAAAACCCUGAUGAAGCGCAAGUCGCAACUCGUAUGGAUGCCACAUUUAAGAAGAGAGCAGCAACAUUGGCAUCAUGCCCAUCAAUCUUAUCUGUGCGGCAGCAGUUCCCGUACCUCAUGGACACGACCAGGUUUUUUCAAGAGUAUCAAAGGAUGCAUCACGAGGACCCUCUUCACUGCACAUCACGUGGGCUCCAA